RNAcentral lists this transfer RNA (85 nucleotides) under Streptosporangium subroseum. Its description in RNAcentral is "tRNA-Tyr". It matches the Rfam family "tRNA". Rfam says of the family: Transfer RNA (tRNA) molecules are approximately 80 nucleotides in length. Their secondary structure includes four short double-helical elements and three loops (D, anti-codon, and T loops). Further hydrogen bonds mediate the characteristic L-shaped molecular structure. tRNAs have two regions of fundamental functional importance: the anti-codon, which is responsible for specific mRNA codon recognition, and the 3' end, to which the tRNAs corresponding amino acid is attached (by aminoacyl-tRNA synthetases). tRNAs cope with the degeneracy of the genetic code in two manners: having more than one tRNA (with a specific anti-codon) for a particular amino acid; and 'wobble' base-pairing, i.e. permitting non-standard base-pairing at the 3rd anti-codon position. RNAcentral also lists the same sequence under 1 other name. Lineage: Bacteria; Bacillati; Actinomycetota; Actinomycetes; Streptosporangiales; Streptosporangiaceae. The record is from RNAcentral.
GGGGCGGCGCCGGAGCUGGAGAGCCGGGCCUGACUGUAAAUCAGGUGUUUCGACUGAGGGGGUUCGAAUCCCUCUCGCCCCACCA